UAAGUACACUAGGGGUGCCUAAAAAUCGGCUGAGAAUAUACCCUUAACCUGAUCCAGGUAAUGCUGGCGGAGGUAAGUGCCAAUACCUCCCA
Molecule: non-coding RNA, 92 nt
Filed under: Anaerococcus prevotii
Lineage: Bacteria; Bacillati; Bacillota; Tissierellia; Tissierellales; Peptoniphilaceae
Also listed under: 1 other name
Description: TPP sequence
Rfam family: TPP riboswitch aptamer (THI element)
About the family: Vitamin B(1) in its active form thiamin pyrophosphate (TPP) is an essential coenzyme that is synthesised by coupling of pyrimidine and thiazole moieties in bacteria.
Source: RNAcentral